This 253-nucleotide ribosomal RNA is filed under the name uncultured bacterium. RNAcentral describes it as "partial 16S ribosomal RNA". It matches the Rfam family "Bacterial small subunit ribosomal RNA", at positions 524 to 776 of the family's 1533-position model. The record is from RNAcentral.
UACGGAGGGUCCAAGCGUUAUCCGGAAUCAUUGGGUCUAAAGGGUCCGUAGGCGGGUUUAUAAGUCAGUGGUGAAAGCCCAUCGCUCAACGAUGGAACGGCCAUUGAUACUGUAGAUCUUGAAUUAUUAGGAAGUAACUAGAAUAUGUAGUGUAGCGGUGAAAUGCUUAGAGAUUACAUGGAAUACCGAUUGCGAAGGCAGGUUACUACUAAUGGAUUGACGCUGAUGGACGAAAGCGUGGGUAGCGAACAGG